AAUCUUCCGCAAUGGGCGAAAGCCUGACGGAGCAACGCCGCGUGAGUGAUGAAGGUCNNNGGAUCNUCACACUCUGUUGUUAGNGACNAACAAAUUUGUUAGUAACUGAACAAGUCUUGACGGUACCUAACCAGAACGCCACGGCUAACUACGUGCCAGCAGUCGCGGUAAUACGUAGGUGGCAAGCGUUAUCCGGAAUUAUUGGGCGUAAAGCGCGAGUAGGCGGUUUCUUAAGUCUGAUGUGAAAGUCCACGGCUCAACCGUGGAAGGUCAUUGGAAACUGGGGAACUUGAGUGCAGAAGAGGAGAGUGGAAUUCCAUGUGUAGCGGUGAAAUGCGCAGAGAUAUGGAGGAACACCAGUGGCGAAGGCGGCUCUCUGGUCUGUAACUGACGCUGAUGUGCGAAAGCGUGGGGAUCAAAC
This 421-nucleotide ribosomal RNA is filed under the name uncultured bacterium. Its description in RNAcentral is "partial 16S ribosomal RNA". It matches the Rfam family "Bacterial small subunit ribosomal RNA", at positions 360 to 773 of the family's 1533-position model. The record is from RNAcentral.